GACGAACGCUGGCGGCGUGCUUAACACAUGCAAGUCGAACGGAAGGCCCUGCUUUUGUGGGGUGCUCGAGUGGCGAACGGGUGAGUAACACGUGAGUAACCUGCCCUUGACUUUGGGAUAACUUCAGGAAACUGGGGCUAAUACCGGAUAGGAGCUCCUGCUGCAUGGUGGGGGUUGGAAAGUUUCGGCGGUUGGGGAUGGACUCGCGGCUUAUCAGCUUGUUGGUGGGGUAGUGGCUUACCAAGGCUUUGACGGGUAGCCGGCCUGAGAGGGUGACCGGCCACAUUGGGACUGAGAUACGGCCCAGACUCCUACGGGAGGCAGCAGUGGGGAAUAUUGCACAAUGGGCGGAAGCCUGAUGCAGCAACGCCGCGUGCGGGAUGAUGGCCUUCGGGUUGUAAACCGCUUUCGCCUGUGACGAAGCGUGAGUGACGGUAAUGGGUAAAGAAGCACCGGCUAACUACGUG
This 467-nucleotide ribosomal RNA is filed under the name uncultured bacterium. RNAcentral describes it as "partial 16S ribosomal RNA". It matches the Rfam family "Bacterial small subunit ribosomal RNA", at positions 28 to 507 of the family's 1533-position model. The record is from RNAcentral.